AGACAUAGAGAAGUCAAGCCAUGUGCCUAGGGUCACACAGCCAGAUAAUGCCAGAGCUGAAACUGGAAAUUAGGCCUCUUCUCUUCCACUCUGGUUCUCUUCCCCACAUGGCCCCAUCCCUCUAGGUACAACAGAGAUAACUUGACCUACUUUACCCAGCCAAGCAGAGUGCAAGAGCCUAGACAGAGACUGAGUUCUCUUCAAUCCCUUGACCAGAUUUUCUUUGACUCCUCAUCAGUGCAAGGUUCUAAGGCUGGAAAUCAUGGUGGAAUCAGGCUUCUGUGUUUGUCCAAAGCUCCUGAGGAGGAUAAGCAGACCAGCACAGUGGUCACCCCACAGUGUAGAGCUUUCAUGUGUCCCUUCACCCUCCUGCCUCCAUGGGUCUCAGGGACUCCCUGCCACAGGCCCUCUAAAGAAAGCUCCUACGCCUGUCACAGCACCUCUUCCUCUGCUUGGCUCUGUCUCCAGCUAGCUGUGGGAGCUGGGGCCAGGCAGGUCACUCCCACCCAAGGCUUUUAAUGAGAAGUUUUGUCAUGCCCAGGCAGCAAAGAUGAAUAAUUCAGUGAAGGAUCCCAGGAAAUGUUAUUCUUUAAGAGAAGAUUCCCCUGACAGUGGAAGAGGCAAAGAAGGACUGCAUCUUAUUAUGGGAGGAAUGGAGGUGGGGUGACAGUGGUACUAAGGAAGAAGAGGAGGAGAAAGGCUACACAGGAGUCCCUAACAGAAUUCCUAAAGAUCUUUACCCAAGCCACUCUGCCAUUUAUGUUUUAAGAUAUUAUUUGUUUAUUCAUGAGAGAGAGAGAGAGAGAGAGAGAAGUAGAGACACAGGCAGAGGGAGAAGCAGGCUCCAUGCUGGGAGCCCGAUGUGGGACUCUAUCCUGGGUCUCCAGGAUCAGGCCCUGGGCUGAAGGUGGUGCUAAACCACUGAGCCACCCAGGCUGCCCUACUUUGCCACUUAGACUUUAAGCCUACUGAGGCUGGUGCAAAUCCCUAGUAAUCUGUUGCCUUUUGCCCCAUUAAACAGUGAUCUCUUUAAGACCAGUGCCUACUUCCAGAGAGCAGGGUUGUAAUCUCUAGGGGCGAUGGCCUAUUUUCUUUAUUUAUUGGACUUUAAAAAUGAUUAAGAGUGUUCAGAAAGGAAAGAGAACAGAUGGGUAGAAUGAGUGACAUGCAUUUCUGGUCCUCAUUUAGGUGCCAGGGAAUAGAAACAAACUCAAAGAUGCCGUUGCCAGCUUGCACUGAAUAUGAGCACAUAUCCCUCCCUAGUGUGGGGGUGGCAGCAUGGAGAGGGAAGGCUAAUUCUUAGAUAGCACCUUUGAGGAGAAGGCAUCAAAAGAUUUUCCUGCAUGGUGAUGUGCUUCUGGCAGCGCAUGAAAGAUGCCAAGCUUCCUCCCAGUUAGCAAAUUGGGAUGUAGCACUAGGGCCCUAGAUCAUUCUUGUUUGAAUAGAAGGCUGCAGUCCUUUAGUGAGAAUUAGCACAUCACACAAAACAAAGUUUCCAAUGCUUUAAGGAGACCCAGUGGCUUACACUCUGGGGUUUUAGAGUUGGGGCUCCUGGGUAGCUCAGCCUGUUAAGUGUCCAACUCUUGAUUUCUGCUCAGGUCAUGAUCUCAGGGUUGUGAGAAAGAGCGCCACUUUGGGCUUUGCACUCAGUGUAGAGUUUGCUUGAAAUUCUCUUUCCCUCUCCCUUUGCCCCUCCCCCCAUAAACUCUCUCUCUUUCUAAAAUAAAUAAAAUAUUUUUUUAAAAAAGAAUCAGAAAGUAGGGAAUUUUAGGCCCAGCUCUACUACUUGGUUGUGGGAUCUUAGGCAAUUUGUAUUACCUCCUUGAAUCUUAGUGUCCUUAUCUGUAAAGUAAAUAAUAGUAAUAGAACACCCUCUUUUGAUUGCUUUGAGGACUAUAGGAGAGAUUUAAGUGUUUUGUGAAUUAUAACAUUUUUGUAUCUGUGUAAGGGAUAUUGAUUAGUAGAAAGGCACACUUAGCAACCCAUAUUCUCACCUGGGCCUCUUCUGACAAACUGAUUUGCAAAUGUUGGGAAUAAAGUAUGUGGCCCAAGAACUAUCUCUCUGAAAAGCUGACAUUUGGGGAAGCCAAAUAGUGACCUUAAUCUCAAUAGCACUUCCCCAACACUAGAGGUAUAGAGAAGCAGUCUUUGAAUUCUAAUUGAUGUGGGUUAGGUACCAGACUUCACCUCUUAUUAACCAUGUGAAUUUGGAAUAGUUAAUUAACGUCCUUGAACCUCAUUAUUCUCACCUAUGUAAUGAAAUUUAAUAAUAGUGUCUACCCCUUAGUGUUGUCAUAAGAUUUAAAUUAGUGUGUGCCUAGGAAAUACUUAACAUAGGCCUUGGUACAUAGUAAUCAUUCAAUAAGGUAAGCUUCAGAUGCUGCUGCUAUUAUUUUAAAUGAUUAACAAACUCUGAGAUCAUACACGUAGUAGGCAUCAUUCAAAGAAAUCUUCACUGAAUACCUACUAUGUGCAAAGCAGGGAUUGAAGACAUGAUGGUGAAUAAAAUCAGAUGUGACACCUGCCUGUCCUCAUGGAUUUUAGUGACUUUUAAUAAUGUUUGGUGAAUGAGUGAGUGAGUGAAAGCAAGAUUCCACCCUGACUCAGAAAUUAAUAAUUCAAAGUUAUUAAGGUCUUAGAUGUUGAAGCCAAAGGAGAAAUGAUCAUUUUUCCAAAAUCUGGGACUCAGCUGCUCACUAAAGGAAUGGGAAGUAUGUGCAGAUGGUUUCAGGCACAGGAGGACAUACAGAGGAAGAAAGAUAAUGUUUUUAAGGAGGAAAGUGUCCAGUUCCCUUUGCAAUAGGGGCAACCAAACCUACUAAGAACGAAUUGAACGAGUAACACAACACUAGCUGUGGACCUGAAUAAAACUCCUGAGGCAGUUCCUCCCCAGCUUACUGUUUCCCCUUUCCUUGUCAAAACAUGCAUUUAGGAAAGGAUCUCAGAAUUCAGUUACACUCCUGCGGUGUAGGACCAGUAUGAACUACCUAAGGACUAGCCUCAGGUCUGAUUUCUGAGGCAAGGCUCAGCUUAUCAUGGGAGUCAGUAAAUCUACCCUAGCUCCAUACCCAGCUUCAGCCUCAGUUUCCUAGGAAAGGUAGUUGCCAGAGUAGUCACCAGUGAGAGUUAUCGAGCCUCUGAUACGACUUGAAGGACUGCUCACUUUGGCAGUUGGCUAUCUGUCCACAGGGAUCAAUGCCCUUUUGUGGAAAGACUGAACCAAACAAAGGCAGUACAAUGUUACCUUUGGGAAGCCUGACAUGGCAGAGUUGGAUGUCAGAGGAGCUGAGUUGCCAGGAACUUUUCCUAAGGAGUGUACUCCAUGUUUCUGGGGAGAGUUAUAUGCUCACCAAUGACCAGCUACAAUAACCUCCCACCACCACCUGGGCAAGGUGAAAGUGGAUACCCUACUGACUUUUACUUUUUUUCUCCUUCUGCUUUUGGCCAAAGAAGGAGCAAAUCACUUUGGAUUGCAAAGGGCUGACUGCUACCCCCACAUAUCAAAAGGAUCCCUCAUACUAUAGAGGCUUGUCUGAGGGGAUUAGAGAAAAGAGUGGGGAGGGCUGGCCUUCACCAGGACCUUUGAGGGUUAAUCCAAGUUGGCACUGGAAGCCUUUACCACCUUCCUUUUUUUUUUUUUUUUUUCUUUACCACCUUCCUGAGAGAGAGUUCUGGAAAGAUAUUACCUAAUGAAAACCUGCCAUCCCUUACCUCAGUGUUCCCUUUCUUCCCUCUGCUGCUUCCCCCUCCUUCAACUUCCACAUUUCCCUAGGACCAGUUUAAUUUGCCUAGUAUUGAAAUCAUCCCAGGCAAAACUGUCAGCCUCUGCUCUUUACUAACAACUGGAUUGAGGAUUGAGGAGGCCUGGAGGUUUACUGGUUGCUAUGGUGAGGAACAGGCCCUGAGAGGAUUAAGGAGCUGGGAGUUUGAGCUUUUUUGUUUGUUGGUUUUGAUGAGUUCUGUUUGCUUUUCUUUCCCAACCCUGCUUCCCCUUCAUUCCCCUCCCCCCAACCCCUCCAAACUCUCAAAUCUCUAAAGCAGAAGGAUAUUACUAGGAGCAAAAUCAGAGCCUGAUGCAGGCUCUGCUAAGAAAAAUCAGUGCAUAUUUUGCAAUGAGGACUCCUGGGAGGGCCAAGUUUGGAUCCCAAGAUAUUUCACAUUUGUAGCGUGGUGCAGCAUUCUGAGGCAGAGGGGAAAACUGGUGAGGUAGGAGGGUUUGCUGGAGCUCUCUGAAACCUCCAGAGUUUUUCCUUUCUGGCCACAGAAUAGGAAAGGCAUAGAUAAACUCAAAGCCAGGAGUUUGAGUGGAGGGAGGCUUCUGGAAACAGGGAAGCAGCUCAGUUCUGGCAUUAGGGAGCUUUUAUCCAGUGUUUCUCACACCCCCAAGAUCCUUUUUAUCUGGAGUCCAAGCAUCCAGUCCACAUCUCCCUCCCUUCCCACUGGUGAACAAUGUAGAGCAUAUUUGUGGAGAAAAUGUGGAUUUCAAAAGGGCUUUGAAGGUAUUAUAUUGUUGUUGUUCUAGAAAUAGUUCCCUCCAAUUCAGUUAAUUGCUCUGAGAAGGAAGACAGCUGAUUCAGAGAGAUUUUGUGGUCUGGGUGCCUGGACUCUAGUCAAAAGUGACCUUGCUUCCUUCUUAAUUGGCACCCCGGGGCUGAGAAGCUAUAUGAAGGGAGAGCUAGGAAGGAAACCCUGAGUGCACCAGCAAGGCCAGAUCAUGGCAAAUGGUGAUGUCUCAGUGGCUCCUAUGUCCUCUUUCAUCCUGUGGCAACUGCAUAAAGCUAGCUUGAUUGGAUAAUCAUCUCAGGGUGAAGGUAUCAAAUGGCAUCCCUUUACUCCUAGACCAGACUCUUCAUCCAUACUAACUUGAGAAUAAGGACCCUGCUCCCUUUUUAACUCUCCAAACUUUUUUCUUAGCACCAAGGUCUUUAUUUAUCUUCACCUAGGUGGUGUUGUGUGAAUACUCUCAAGUCUUUGUUCUCCCAGCUAGAUGGCAUGUUUCAUGCAGACUAGUUUUAUGUCAAAAACUCCACUAUGGUCCCUCUUCAGGACUUUGGAACACAGAGGAGCUUGGUAAAUGGGUCUUGGCUUACUGCUCAAGAACCAAGGGUCACACAAAAGGUCCAUGCUAUGUAAAACCAGAAUAAUGUAGCAAUAGCAGGAAAAUCUGCUUAUUAUGUAAAAAAUAAGAUUAAAUACUCAUCUCAUGUCAUAUAAAAAUAAACUUUAGAGGUAUUGAAGAUUUAAAUAUGACAGGCAAAACUAGGCAAAGUAAAAAAUGUAGAAAGAAAUCUUUGCAGCAUUGGGGUAGAAAGGUUUUCUUACCAUGUGGAGAGCACAUACAUCAUAAAGACAAAAGUAGAUGGAUUUGAUUAACAUCCAUUAAAAGUAUUCUUUUCUACAGAGGACACAAUGGGCAAAUCAUAGGUGACAGAUUUCGAGAAAAUAUUUGUAAAGUAUAUGAACAAAAAAGGUUAAUAUCCAGAAUACGUAGGGUAAGAAAGAGGUGGAAAAUCUGAUAAAGAAAACAGCAAACAUACAAAUAGGCAACUUACAGAAGGGGAGGCUCAAAUAAGUGGAUCAUGAUUAUCUGAAGAAAUGGCCAACCUCAUAAUUUGGGAAAGGCAAAUUAAAAGAGCAGGGAGAUACCCUUUUGUACCCAUCAGACUGGCAAAACAUUUAAAAAGAGUAAGAUAAUAGCAAGUGUUGGUAACAAUGUAGGGAAACAGGGAUCCUCAUGCAUUGCUAGGAAUUAUGUGAAUUAAUAUAACCAUUUUGGGGAGGAAUUUGGACGUGCUUAGAAAAUUUAAAUUUUUCAUGACCCAUGAGAGAGCAAUUCCACUUCUUUUACAUGCCCCAUGAGAGAGUAGUUAUCCUCCAGUAACUACUCUCACAGGUACACAAAGUAGCUUGUAUGAAAAUGUUCAUCACAAUAUUGCAAUAGAGAGGAAUUGGAAAUAACCUAAAUGCCCAUCAAUAGGGGAAUGGAUACAUAAAAUGUAAAAUAUACAAAUCAUGGAAUACUAUGCAGCAAAGUGAACACACUAGAUCCAUAGAUGAAAACCUAAUAAGCUCUCUAUAAUUAUGAAACUGCA
Molecule: long non-coding RNA, 6092 nt
Filed under: Canis lupus familiaris (dog)
Lineage: Eukaryota; Metazoa; Chordata; Mammalia; Carnivora; Canidae
Description: lncRNA (ENSCAFG00000054823.1)
Source: RNAcentral